GGGGCUAUAGCUCAGCUGGGAGAGCGCUUGAAUGGCAUUCAAGAGGUCAGCGGUUCGAUCCCGCUUAGCUCCA
Molecule: non-coding RNA, 73 nt
Organism: Deltaproteobacteria bacterium
Lineage: Bacteria; Pseudomonadati; Myxococcota; Myxococcia
Source: Rfam